AGAGUUUGAUCCUGGCUCAGAACGAACGCUGGCGGCGUGGAUUAGGCAUGCAAGUCGAACGAUCCCUUUAGCAAUAGGGGGAUAGUGGCAAACGGGUGAGUAACGCGUGGGUAAUUUUCCUUAAGGCUCGGGAUAACCUGACGAAAGUCGGACUAAUACCGGCUAAGACCACAGCCCUUCGGGGCUGCGGUUAAAGAUGGGGACUCUAAAAAUGGGCCUGUCACCUUAAGAUGAGCCCGCGACCUAUCAGCUAGUUGGUGAGGUAACGGCCCACCAAGGCGAUGACGGGUAGCUGGUCUGAGAGGAUGGUCAGCCACACUGGGACUGAGACACUGCCCAGACUCCUACGGGAGGCUGCAGUCGAGGAUCUUUUGCAAUGCCCGAAAGGGUGACAAUGCGACGCCGCGUGUGGGAUGAAGGCCUUCGGGUUGUAAACCACUGUCAGCCCGGAUGAAGGCGGGAGGGUUAAUAACCUUUCCGAUUGACGGUACGGGCGGAGGAAGCCACGGCUAACUCUGUGCCAGCAGCCGCGGUAAUACAGAGGUGGCAAGCGUUGUUCGGAUUCACUGGGUGUAAAGGUCAUGUAGGCGUCCCGUUAAGUCGAGUGUGAAAUCCUAUGGCUCAACCAUAGAACUGCGCUCGAUACUGGCGGGAUUGAGUACGGGAGAGGUAAGCGGAAUUCCAGAAGUAAGGGUGAAAUCUGUAGAUAUCUGGAGGAACACCAUUAGCGAAGGCGGCUUACUGGUCCGAUACUGACGCUCAAAUGAGAAAGCUAGGGGAGCAAACAGGAUUAGAUACCCUGGUAGUCCUAGCCGUAAACGAUGUGCACUAGGUGCUGGCUCGCAAGGGUCAGUGUCGUAGCUAACGCGUUAAGUGCACCACCUGGGGACUACGGUCGCAAGGCUAAAACUCAAAGGAAUUGACGGGGACCCGCACAAGCGGAGGAGCAUGUGGUUUAAUUCGAUGCUACGCGAGGAACCUUACCUGGGUUUGACAUGCAAGUAGUAGGAACCUGAAAGGGCAACGACCCGUAUAAAUCGGGAGCUUGCACAGGUGCUGCAUGGCUGUCGUCAGCUCGUGUCGUGAGAUGUUGGGUUAAGUCCCGCAACGAGCGCAACCAUCGUCCUUAGUUGCUAACCCGCAAGGGAGCACUCUAAGGAGACUGCCAGUUUUUUAACUGGAGGAAGGAGGAGAUGACGUCAAGUCCGUAUGGCCCUUACGCCCAGGGCUACACACGUGCUACAAUGGCCGUUACAAAGGGUUGCCAAACCGCGAGGUGGAGCUAAUCCCAAAAAGACGGUCCCAGUCCAGAUCGGAGGCUGCAAUUCGCCUCCGUGAAGUUGGAUUCGCUAGUAACCGCAGAUCAGCCAUGCUGCGGUGAAUACGUUCCCGGGUCUUGUACACACCGCCUGUCAAGUCACCCGAGUCGAGUGCACCCGAAGCCGUUUGUCUAACCGCAAGGAGGACGACGUCGAAGGUGUGUUUGGUGAGGAGGACUAAGUCAUAACAAGGUA
RNAcentral lists this ribosomal RNA (1514 nucleotides) under metagenome. RNAcentral describes it as "bacterial SSU rRNA". It matches the Rfam family "Bacterial small subunit ribosomal RNA". The record is from RNAcentral.